Molecule: small RNA, 82 nt
Filed under: Xanthomonas oryzae pv. oryzae
Lineage: Bacteria; Pseudomonadati; Pseudomonadota; Gammaproteobacteria; Lysobacterales; Lysobacteraceae
Description: sX9
Source: RNAcentral
ACACCCAAUGCUGCGUCGUUUCAAGAGCGGCUAACAAAACGUCCGCGCCCACCUGACAGCUGCGCGCCACGUUUUGUCAGCC